UAGGGAAUCUUCCGCAAUGGACGCAAGUCUGACGGAGCAACGCCGCGUGAGUGAAGAAGGAUUUCGGUUCGUAAAACUCUGUUGUUAGAGAAGAACAGCGCAUAGAGUAACUGUUAUGCGUGUGACGGUAUCUAACCAGAAAGCCACGGCUAACUACGUGCCAGCAGCCGCGGUAAUACGUAGGUGGCAAGCGUUGUCCGGAUUUAUUGGGCGUAAAGCGAGCGCAGGCGGUCAAUUAAGUCUGAUGUGAAAGCCCCCGGCUCAACCGGGGAGGGUCAUUGGAAACUGGUUGACUUGAGUGCAGAAGAGGAGAGUGGAAUUCCAUGUGUAGCGGUGAAAUGCGUGGAUAUAUGGAGGAACACCAGUGGCGAAGGCGACUCUCAGGUCUGUAACUAACGCUGAGGCUCGAAAGCGUGGGUAGCAAACAGG
RNAcentral lists this ribosomal RNA (429 nucleotides) under Bacteroidota bacterium. RNAcentral's name for it is "Bacteroidetes bacterium partial 16S ribosomal RNA". It matches the Rfam family "Bacterial small subunit ribosomal RNA", at positions 355 to 776 of the family's 1533-position model. Lineage: Bacteria; Pseudomonadati; Bacteroidota. The record is from RNAcentral.